This is a non-coding RNA of Populus trichocarpa (black cottonwood), 107 nucleotides long. Lineage: Eukaryota; Viridiplantae; Streptophyta; Magnoliopsida; Malpighiales; Salicaceae. The record is from Rfam.
AUCUGAUGAUGAGGGCAUUGAAUGUAUAGUUGCUUAAAUCUUUCCCAAUACUCAGAAAGUGUCUCCCCAUGAGAUUGCUAAAUCCCACAUAUUUAUUUCCUUACGUU